Molecule: ribosomal RNA, 426 nt
Filed under: uncultured bacterium
Lineage: Bacteria
Description: bacterial SSU rRNA
Rfam family: Bacterial small subunit ribosomal RNA
Source: RNAcentral
UGGGGAAUAUUGGACAAUGGGCGCAAGCCUGAUCCAGCAAUGCCGCGUGUGUGAAGAAGGCCUUCGGGUUGUAAAGCACUUUUAUCAGGAGCGAAACUACUGUCGGCUAAUACCCGGCGGAACUGACGGUACCUGAGGAAUAAGCACCGGCUAACUUCGUGCCAGCAGCCGCGGUAAUACGAAGGGUGCAAGCGUUAAUCGGAAUUACUGGGCGUAAAGCGUGCGUAGGCGGUUGUUUAAGUCUGCUGUGAAAUCCCCGGGCUCAACCUGGGAAUUGCAUUCGAGACUGAAUAGCUAGGGUACGGUAGAGGGAAGUGGAAUUUCCGGUGUAGCGGUGAAAUGCGUAGAUAUCGGAAGGAACAUCAGUGGCGAAAGCGACUUCCUGGACCAGUACCGACGUUCAGGCACGAAAGCGUGGGGAGCAAA